Molecule: ribosomal RNA, 525 nt
Filed under: uncultured bacterium
Lineage: Bacteria
Description: bacterial SSU rRNA
Rfam family: Bacterial small subunit ribosomal RNA
Source: RNAcentral
AACGAACGCUGGCGGCGUGGAUAAGACAUGCAAGUCGAGCGCUCAUCCGGUUGCAGCAAUGUAGACGGGUGGGAGCGGCGCAAGGGUGCGUAACGCGUGGGUAAUUUGCCGUGAAGUUGGGAAUAACUCGCUGAAAGGCGAGCUAAUGCCGAAUGUGGUUGCCAGGGGGAAUCCCCUGGUUACUAAAGUUGGGGACCGAAAGGCCUGACGCUUCAUGAUAAGCCCGCGGCCUAUCAGCUAGUUGGUGAGGUAACGGCCCACCAAGGCUAAGACGGGUAGCUGGUCUGAGAGGACGACCAGCCACACUGGAACUGAGACACGGUCCAGACACCUACGGGUGGCAGCAGUCGAGAAUUUUUCACAAUGGGCGCAAGCCUGAUGGAGCGACGCCGCGUGGGGGAUGAAGGGCUUCGGCCCGUAAACCCCUGUCAUUUGCGAACAAACCUUGUCCGUGAACAACGGACGAGCUGAUGGUAGCGAAAGAGGAAGGGACGGCUAACUCUGUGCCAGCCGCCGCCGUAAAAC